This is a long non-coding RNA of Ipomoea nil (Japanese morning glory), 310 nucleotides long. RefSeq lists it as uncharacterized. The record is from RefSeq and is a predicted model, not a curated record. The transcript has 3 exons. NCBI's taxonomy places the organism in Eukaryota, Viridiplantae, Streptophyta, Magnoliopsida, Solanales, Convolvulaceae.
UAGGUUUUCAGAUGGAUUGUUUCCACAUCUUAAUGGGCUAACAAUGCGGAAACCCUUCAAGGCUUCAAUGAAGAAAGUGGCUUUCCACAUAUUGAGUCUGAUAAGGUUGGCUACGCAUAUGGUGUGAUGCUGUAUCAGUUUUUCAACCUUUUGUUCACUACGAAGACGAAAAUGCUUUAACUCCAUUUCCUGUGCAAACAGGGAUAUAAUUAUCCUAAAUGUUGAUGUUUGGUUGGCCCAGUUAGCUUAGAAUUCUUGCUUCAAGGCAGAUAUUUUGAGCUCUUUAAAAAUAAGAGUUUUCUUGAGAACU